Scophthalmus maximus (turbot) is the source of this 491-nucleotide long non-coding RNA. RefSeq lists it as uncharacterized. The transcript has 3 exons. The record is from RefSeq and is a predicted model, not a curated record. NCBI's taxonomy places the organism in Eukaryota, Metazoa, Chordata, Actinopteri, Pleuronectiformes, Scophthalmidae.
GUCCUCUGCAGGGGACAGAGAAAAAGCCAUGAACAAUGACGAUGACUGGAACCAUAUUGUCUUAUUUGUAGCCAGCUAAGCCAACAGAUUGUUAAUUUCAGUGCGCUCACCAAGUUUAAUUGUUUUACGGAUUUUUUUUGACUUUGCGGCCGGAGCCUUGGCCUUGCAGACUUUGCUGAGAGCGCGGGUGAAAUGAGCGUCCACCAUACUGUUGAUGUCGCCCUGGAAACAAAACAUUUCGCUCACACAUCCAAAUGUACUUGAUGUGUUCGACUGGCAGGGUGUGUGAUGCUUCAUGGACGCAGAAAGCUAUGGGCAGAAUGUCGUCGGGCAAGUUCCUCCAGAAACUGCUGUUGAAGAUGGUGAACAGGUACAUCAGGACCACUCUGCCUGGCCCGAAGGAAAAGAAGCCCAAUGACCACGUCAGACCUAAGAGGACGGUGAGACUGGCCACCGUCCUCAAAUCAUACAGAGAGCUGCCGCUGUUUGCC